RNAcentral lists this ribosomal RNA (756 nucleotides) under uncultured bacterium. Its description in RNAcentral is "bacterial SSU rRNA". It matches the Rfam family "Bacterial small subunit ribosomal RNA", at positions 8 to 816 of the family's 1533-position model. The record is from RNAcentral.
AGAGUUUGAUCCUGGCUCAGAACGAACGCUGGCGGCAGGCUUAACACAUGCAAGUCGAAAGCACCGCAAGGUGAGUGGCAGACGGGUGAGUAACGCGUGGGUACCUACCUAUCGGAUCGGAAUAACUCGGGGAAACUCGAGCUAAGACCGGAUACGCCCUUCGGGGGAAUGAUUUAUCGCCGAUAGAUGGGCCCGCGUUGGAUUAGCUAGUUGGUGAGGUAAAGGCUCACCAAGGCUACGAUCCAUAGCUGGUCUUAGAGGAUGAUCAGCCACACUGGGACUGAGACACGGCCCAGACUCCUACGGGAGGCAGCAGUGGGGAAUAUUGGACAAUGGGGGCAACCCUGAUCCAGCCAUGCCGCGUGAGUGAUGAAGGCCUUAGGGUUGUAAAGCUCUUUCGCCCGGGAAGAUAAUGACUGUACCGGGUAAAGAAGCCCCGGCUAACUUCGUGCCAGCAGCCGCGGUAAUACGAUGGGGGCUAGCGUUGUUCGGAAUUACUGGGCGUAAAGCGCACGUAGGCGGAUCAUCAAGUCAGGGGUGAAAUCCCGGGGCUCAACCUCGGAAUUGCCUCGAUACUGGUGAUCUUGAGUACGUGAGAGGUGAGUGGAGCUCCGAGUGUAGACGUGAAAUUCGUAGAUAUUCGGACGAACACCAGUUGGCGAAGGCGGCUCACUGGCACGGUACUGACGCUGAGGUGCGAAAGCGUGGGAGCAACUGGAUUGAUACCUGNAGUCAGGCGAAUGCAGCCCUGCGCGU